This 89-nucleotide microRNA precursor is filed under the name Marmota monax (woodchuck). The record is from RNAcentral. Lineage: Eukaryota; Metazoa; Chordata; Mammalia; Rodentia; Sciuridae.
GGGGACAGGUAGCAGCACAGACUUGCUGUGAUGUUCACGUGGAGACGAGUUAAACAUCACUGCAAGUCUUAACAGCCACCCGCCCAGGG